CUACGUCAACAGGGUUCAAGGUCGGCCAAUGAGACGAUGGGGGAUAAGCUUUAUCGUCGAGAGGAAAAUAUAUAGACCGGAGCACCAGCUAAGGCCUCUGAAUGACCGUUCAAUGAUAAAAGGAGGUUGGGGGUGCAAAGACAGCCAGUAGGUUUGAGCAACCACUAUUUAAAGAGUGUGUAAUAGCUCACUGAUUGAGCGUCUUUGUGUUGAAGAUGAAUGGGACUAAGUGAUCUACCAAAGCUAUGGGAUGUCAAAAUACAUCGGUAGUAG
RNAcentral lists this non-coding RNA (273 nucleotides) under Leersia perrieri. RNAcentral's name for it is "Bacterial large subunit ribosomal RNA". It matches the Rfam family "Bacterial large subunit ribosomal RNA", at positions 954 to 1234 of the family's 2925-position model. The record is from Rfam by way of RNAcentral. Lineage: Eukaryota; Viridiplantae; Streptophyta; Magnoliopsida; Poales; Poaceae.